GCCAGGUGUGGUUGUGUGCACCUAUAGUCCCAACUACAUGGGAGGCUGAGGCUGGAGGAUCACAUGAGCCCAGGAGGUCAAGACUGCAGUGAACCAUGAUUACACCACUGCAGUCUAGCCUGGGUGAAAAAGUGAGACCCUGUCUCAA
RNAcentral lists this small RNA (148 nucleotides) under Macaca fascicularis (crab-eating macaque). RNAcentral describes it as "Metazoan signal recognition particle RNA (ENSMFAG00000048021.1)". The record is from Rfam by way of RNAcentral. Lineage: Eukaryota; Metazoa; Chordata; Mammalia; Primates; Cercopithecidae.